AAUCAACGCUGGCGGCGUGCCUAACACAUGCAAGUCGAACGCGAAAGCCCUUUCGGGGGUAAGUAGAGUGGCGUCCGGGUGAGUAACACGUAGGUAAUCUACCUUCGGGUGGGGAAGUAACGUCUCGAAAGAGACGCUAAUACCGCAUAAUGCAGCGGCACCUAAUGGUGAUUAGUUGUUAAAGCGGGGGAGUCGUAAGACCUCGCGCCUGAAGAGGAGCCUGCGGCAGAUUAGC
This 235-nucleotide ribosomal RNA is filed under the name uncultured bacterium. RNAcentral's name for it is "partial 16S ribosomal RNA". It matches the Rfam family "Bacterial small subunit ribosomal RNA", at positions 32 to 245 of the family's 1533-position model. The record is from RNAcentral.